UAAUUAAUUUUAAUCAAUAAAAUAAAAAAUAUUUCAACCAUAUGGUCCUUUCGUACUAAUAUGAAUUAAUAAUCUUAGGAUAGAAACCGACCUGGCUCACGCCGGUCUGAACUCAGAUCAUGUAAGAAUUUAAAGGUCGAGCAGACCUAAUUACUGGGCUACUGCACCCAAAAUUUUUCUUAAUCCAACAUCGAGGUCGCAAUCUGCUUUGUCGAUAUGAGCUCUCAAAAACAAUUACGCUGUUACCCCUAAGGUAACUUAAUCUUAUGAUCAUAAAUUAUGGAUCAAAACAACAAACAUAAAUAAAUGAUAUAAUAAUGAAGAGUUUAUUUAUUCUUCA
Molecule: long non-coding RNA, 340 nt
Organism: Schistocerca serialis cubense
Lineage: Eukaryota; Metazoa; Arthropoda; Insecta; Orthoptera; Acrididae
Exons: 2
Source: RefSeq, a predicted model, not a curated record